This 74-nucleotide transfer RNA is filed under the name Mycoplasmatota bacterium. RNAcentral's name for it is "Tenericutes bacterium (anaerobic digester metagenome) tRNA-Thr". It matches the Rfam family "tRNA". From Rfam's summary of the family: Transfer RNA (tRNA) molecules are approximately 80 nucleotides in length. Their secondary structure includes four short double-helical elements and three loops (D, anti-codon, and T loops). Further hydrogen bonds mediate the characteristic L-shaped molecular structure. tRNAs have two regions of fundamental functional importance: the anti-codon, which is responsible for specific mRNA codon recognition, and the 3' end, to which the tRNAs corresponding amino acid is attached (by aminoacyl-tRNA synthetases). tRNAs cope with the degeneracy of the genetic code in two manners: having more than one tRNA (with a specific anti-codon) for a particular amino acid; and 'wobble' base-pairing, i.e. permitting non-standard base-pairing at the 3rd anti-codon position. Lineage: Bacteria; Bacillati; Mycoplasmatota. The record is from RNAcentral.
GCCGUCUUAGUUAAAUGGUAUAACAGAGCCAUGGUAAGGCCCAAUUAUAAGUUCGAUUCUUAUAGAUGGCACCA